CUGCCAAAGCAACUCGACGACGCCUACAUCGAGACACCGACACAAGGAAUAAGACCGCGGCGCGCCAUCGUUGCCAAGCCUCGGCACACCCCAUACGAGGUAGCUCCGAUUCUUCACCACGAGCAAAGAUCCACAACGCAGAACUCCGGGAGCAAGCAGACGCCUAAAGCGACAAAGGCCCGGACACCAUCGAGCCAAGCAGAGGACGAAGAGCCUCCACAACACCGACGAACACACAAACUAGAGGUCUUCUGGGCUGCGCCUUCAAGAAGGAGAAACGACGUCGAAAAGCCGUCGCCGCCCGCCUGA
RNAcentral lists this unclassified non-coding RNA (309 nucleotides) under Zea mays. RNAcentral's name for it is "misc RNA Zm00001eb368540". The record is from RNAcentral. Lineage: Eukaryota; Viridiplantae; Streptophyta; Magnoliopsida; Poales; Poaceae.